GAUGAACGCUGGCGGCGUGCCUAAUACAUGCAAGUCGAGCGAACAGACGAGGAGCUUGCUCCCCUGACGUUAGCGGCGGACGGGUGAGUAACACGUGGAUAACCUACCUAUAAGACUGGGAUAACUUCGGGAAACCGGAGCUAAUAUCGGAUAAUAUAUUGAACCGCAUGGUUCAAUAGUGAAAGACGGUUUUGAUGUUACUUAUAGAUGGAUCCGCGCCGCAUUAGCUAGUUGGUAAGGUAACGGCUUACCAAGGCAACGAUGCGUAGCCGACCUGAGAGGGUGAUCGGCCACACUGGAACUGAGACACGGUCCAGACUCCUACGGGAGGCAGCAGUAGGGAAUCUUCCGCAAUGGGCGAAAGCUUGACGGAGCAACGCCGCGUGAGUGAUGAAGGUCUUCGGGUCGUAAAACUCUGUUAUUAGGGAAGAACAAAUGUGUAAGUAACUAUGCACGUCUUGACGGUACCUAAUCAGAAAGCCACGGCUAACUACGUG
This 497-nucleotide ribosomal RNA is filed under the name uncultured bacterium. Its description in RNAcentral is "partial 16S ribosomal RNA". It matches the Rfam family "Bacterial small subunit ribosomal RNA", at positions 28 to 507 of the family's 1533-position model. The record is from RNAcentral.